CUAGCCGUAAACGGUGUGCAUUAGGUGUAGGCGGAUUCGACCCCGUCUGUGCCGUAGAUAACUCAUUAAAUGCACCGCCUGGGAAGUACGGUCGCAAGAUUAAAACUCAAAGAAAUUGACGGGGGCCCGCACAAGCGGUGGAGUAUGUGGCUUAAUUCGAUGCAACGCGAAGAACCUUACCUGGCCUUGACAUGUACGUAGUAGGAUCAAGAAACUGAAACGAGGUAGCAAUACCAGCGUACACAGGUGC
This 250-nucleotide ribosomal RNA is filed under the name uncultured bacterium. RNAcentral describes it as "partial 16S ribosomal RNA". It matches the Rfam family "Bacterial small subunit ribosomal RNA", at positions 796 to 1041 of the family's 1533-position model. The record is from RNAcentral.